Molecule: ribosomal RNA, 182 nt
Filed under: uncultured bacterium
Lineage: Bacteria
Description: partial 16S ribosomal RNA
Rfam family: Bacterial small subunit ribosomal RNA
Source: RNAcentral
CCCGACUCCGUGAAGCUGGAUUCGCUAGUAAUCGCGCAUCAGCCAUGGCGCGGUGAAUACGUUCCCGGGCCUUGUACACACCGCCCGUCAAGCCAUGGAAGCCGGGAGUGCCUGAAGUAUGCAACCGCAAGGAGCGUCCUAAGGUAAAACCGGUGACUGGGGCUAAGUCGUAACAAGGUACC